GACGAACGCUGGCGGCGUGCUUAACACAUGCAAGUCGAACGGAAAGGCCCUGCUUUUGUGGGGUGCUCGAGUGGCGAACGGGUGAGUAGCACGUGAGUAACCUGCCCUUGACUUUGGGAUAACUUCAGGAAACUGGGGCUAAUACCGGAUAGGAGCUCCUGCUGCAUGGUGGGGGUUGGAAAGUUUCGGCGGUUGGGGAUGGACUCGCGGCUUAUCAGCUUGUUGGUGGGGUAGUGGCUUACCAAGGCUUUGACGGGUAGCCGGCCUGAGAGGGUGACCGGCCACAUUGGGACUGAGAUACGGCCCAGACUCCUACGGGAGGCAGCAGUGGGGAAUAUUGCACAAUGGGCGGAAGCCUGAUGCAGCAACGCCGCGUGCGGGAUGACGGCCUUCGGGUUGUAAACCGCUUUCGCCUGUGACGAAGCGUGAGUGACGGUAAUGGGUAAAGAAGCACCGGCUAACUACGUGCCAGCAGCCGCGGUGAUACGUAGGGCGCGAGCGUUGUCCGGAUUUAUUGGGCGUAAAGGGCUCGUAGGUGGUUGAUCGCGUCGGAAGUGUAAUCUUGGGGCUUAACCCUGAGCGUGCUUUCGAUACGGGUUGACUUGAGGAAGGUAGGGGAGAAUGGAAUUCCUGGUGGAGCGGUGGAAUGCGCAGAUAUCAGGAGGAACACCAGUGGCGAAGGCGGUUCUCUGGGCCUUUCCUGACGCUGAGGAGCGAAAGCGUGGGGAGCGAACAGGCUUAGAUACCCUGGUAGCCCACGCUGUAAACGGUGGGUACUAGGUGUGGGGUCCAUUCCACGGGUUCCGUGCCGUAGCUAACGCUUUAAGUACCCCGCCUGGGGAGUACGGCCGCAAGGCUAAAACUCAAAGGAAUUGACGGGGCCCCGCACAAGCGGCGGAGCAUGCGGAUUAAUUCGAUGCAACGCGUAGAACCUUACCUGGGUUUGACAUGGAUCGGGAGUGCUCAGAGAUGGGUGUGCCUCUUUUGGGGUCGGUUCACAGGUGGUGCAUGGCUGUCGUCAGCUCGUGUCGUGAGAUGUUGGGUAAAGUCCCGCAACGAGCGCAACCCUUGUUCACUGUUGCCAGCACGUUAUGGUGGGGACUCAGUGGAGACCGCCGGGGUCAACUCGGAGGAAGGUGGGGAUGACGUCAAGUCAUCAUGCCCCUUAUGUCCAGGGCUUCACGCAUGCUACAAUGGCUGGUACAGAGAGUGGCGAGCCUGUGAGGGUGAGCGAAUCUCGGAAAGCCGGUCUCAGUUCGGAUUGGGGUCUGCAACUCGACCUCAUGAAGUCGGAGUCGCUAGUAAUCGCAGAUCAGCAACGCUGCGGUGAAUACGUUCCCGGGGCU
This 1346-nucleotide ribosomal RNA is filed under the name uncultured bacterium. RNAcentral describes it as "partial 16S ribosomal RNA". It matches the Rfam family "Bacterial small subunit ribosomal RNA", at positions 28 to 1381 of the family's 1533-position model. The record is from RNAcentral.